Molecule: ribosomal RNA, 722 nt
Filed under: uncultured Fusobacterium sp.
Lineage: Bacteria; Fusobacteriati; Fusobacteriota; Fusobacteriia; Fusobacteriales; Fusobacteriaceae
Description: bacterial SSU rRNA
Rfam family: Bacterial small subunit ribosomal RNA
Source: RNAcentral
GAUGAACGCUGACAGAAUGCUUAACACAUGCAAGUCAACUUGAACUUCGGUUUGGGUGGCGGACGGGUGAGUAACGCGUAAAGAACUUGCCUCACAGAUAGGGACAACAUUUGGAAACGAAUGCUAAUACCUGAUAUUAUGAUUUUAGGGCAUCCUAGAAUUAUGAAAGCUAUAUGCGCUGUGAGAGAGCUUUGCGUCCCAUUAGCUAGUUGGAGAGGUAACGGCUCACCAAGGCGAUGAUGGGUAGCCGGCCUGAGAGGGUGAUCGGCCACAAGGGGACUGAGACACGGCCCUUACUCCUACGGGGGGCAGCAGUGGGGAAUAUUGGACAAUGGACCAAGAGUCUGAUCCAGCAAUUCUGUGUGCACGAUGAAGUUUUUCGGAAUGUAAAGUGCUUUCAGUUGGGAAGAAAAAAAUGACGGUACCAACAGAAGAAGUGACGGCUAAAUACGUGCCAGCAGCCGCGGUAAUACGUAUGUCACAAGCGUUAUCCGGAUUUAUUGGGCGUAAAGCGCGUCUAGGUGGUUAUAUAAGUCUGAUGUGAAUAUGCAGGGCUCAACUCUGUAUUGCGUUGGAAACUGUGUAACUAGAGUACUGGAGAGGUAAGCGGAACUACAAGUGUAGAGGUGAAAUUCGUAGAUAUUUGUAGGAAUGCCGAUGGGGAAGCCAGCUUACUGGACAGAUACUGACGCUGAAGCGCGAAAGCGUGGGUAGCAAACAGG